CUCAGUGUCUUUAUAAGCUUCAGUCUCUCUUCUCCUCACACUCCAACCCUGCUCACCUCUCAGCUGGACAGUAAGGGACGUUUACACCACACACUGACAACAUGCUGGGGACCCUCUGCACUCUCAUCACUGCUCUAACAUAUGUUGAUGCAGUGAAAGUGGUGACCCAGACGCCUGCUGUCCACACAGUUUCUACAGGACAACAAGUUGUUCUCAACUGCAACAUUCAGAGAGAUGAUAGCCAAUAUGUCGUCUGGUAUAAACAGGUUCCUGGUGAAGCUCCUCAGUUUGUUCUGGAGUUUCAUUAUUCUAACAGCGCACUCAACUUUGGAUCAGGAUUCUCCUCAGACAGAUUCAACUGUAAAUCCUCAUCAAACAUAGAUUACCAGUUCAUCAUAAAGCGGACAGAGGCAGGAGACUCUGCUGUCUAUUACUGUCAGACAUGGGACAACUCUGCUAAAGAGCAAGUAUCACAGUGAUUCACACUGUGACAAAAACCUCAGUGAGAGACUCACUGCAGAUUUUAUGAAUUCUGACCAAAAUCAAACAAUUAAAAUCAGUAAACUUGGAACAAAACAAGAACAGACAUUAAAUAAAUUCCCUGAAAGAGACAAAAGUGUUUGAAACAAGUCCAGCAGUGUUUUGGAAUAUAAUGAGAAUGAUGAAAUGAAGAGACAUUGACAGUGAAAGUUGGUCUCAACAGGAUGUUUCAGUUCCACUACCCUCAUUAGUGAGAGUCAGGAGGUUUUUGUACAGCCAUGUGUACAAACUGAAUCACUGUGGUAUUCGGACAAGGCACCAAGCUGAUUGUGACAAGUAAGUACUUUUUAACUCAUCAUA
Molecule: non-coding RNA, 840 nt
Organism: Epinephelus lanceolatus (giant grouper)
Lineage: Eukaryota; Metazoa; Chordata; Actinopteri; Perciformes; Serranidae
Source: the annotation of a RefSeq genome assembly